AGCAGCUUGUUGGCCUCAUAGACAUGUCUGUUAAUUGUUUUUGACCGGCUGCUUUUCAGUCUUUUUAAGCUUUGGGCUGACAAUCUUAGCUAGUUAGAUCAAAGUAUGAAAUGGGAAAGAAGACUUGUGCCGUCAUCUUUGGUUUAAGGGAAUAGGGGAGAUGAAAUGAAAAGAAUUAAAAUUUCCGUCCUUGGCUUAAGUAGUAGUGGGGGAAAUGCUGAGAAUGGAAGAAUUUGUUCAAAUUUUUACCAUGGAUGCCCACCAAAAAAUUCCUUUUGUCUGCCCAUAUUAACUCCUUCACCAUCUCUAAGUUACUGAGUUGUUCUUAGAUAUUGGUAUGAAAUAGUUAUGAGCCAUGAAAGUUCCUCUGGCUUUGUUGCAACUAGGAAGAAUAGCAAGGUCCCAUUUGUUUCAUGUAAAAACUAACUUGCUUUCAAAAAUAUGUUGUUUUUCAUUGUUUGGUUACAUUAGUGAAAACUACUUGAAAAUAAUUGUUUAAGUAUUUGGUAUGUAUGAGAAAUAAGUGUUAAAAAGGAAAAGACAAGAGUUGAUUAGUGAUGGUGCUAGAGUUAUGUAAUUCACUCAUCCUCCUUGAAUUUUCAAUCAUUCCAGAUCGUGCAAUCCCAAUCUUGGUGUGUUCGCUAUCCAGAAUGUGAAAUCUGGCAACCCCAUUUUUACUCUAUCCUUUGCUAUAGAUUUGCAAGUAUUCAUGUUUAAAUAUAAGAGUAAAUGUUUAAAACCUAUAUAAUAAAUGAAAUAUUUGGAUUUGAAGAUAUUUGUUAUUAAUUGGAAUCUGAAAAGUUGCUUGGACCAUUCAAUUUUUUUACCUUUUAAAAAAAGCAAAGAAGGAAAGCUGAUAAUUGUGUAGAUGUGUGUGCCUAUAGAAAAUCAAGAGGUUUUUGAGAUGGAUAAUUUGCAUGCUAUUUUCUAGGACCAAGGAUGAAAAUUACCUUAUUUUGAAGUUUUAGUCUACACACAAUAAUACAAUACUUUUAUCUUUUGAUUAUACAUGGAAGACUUAUAAAAACAAACCACUAUUUGAAUUAGCAAUACUAAGCCUACCUCCCACUAAUCGAGUUUCAAGGGGAGGGGCAUUGUAGUAAACACAUGUAUAGCAUAUCAUAACGCACCACAUUCCAAGUAAAUUGGGUGAUGCUUGAGUUACCUAGAACACGGUACAUUAUGGUAUGCAGUUCGCUACCCCCUUUGGAACGCGGUACAAAAGGGGUAGGGCUUAGUGUUUGUUUGGCACUGUAGUAAUUUAUACUUUUCAAAUUGUUUUUUUUGCCUAAAAAAGCAUUACAUUGAUGCUUUUUAGGUGCUUUUAUGUCAAAAAUGAUUUCUUUAUUAAAAAACAUUAUUUUGAUGCAUUUUUAAUUGAAAAGGCAUCACCACAUUACCAAACACACACUUGGUAUGGUAGCUUUUUCAAGUUGUGCUUCGCGUUUGUUCCAGUAGUCCAUUUAUAUAUGUCACAAUUACAUGGUUGCACAUGACAAACUUCCAAACUAGAUAUUUUUGAUUCAGGGGGUUAUAGAAUUUGGUAAACAUUGGGUGCUGUCCAUGAUUUAAUAACAAAGAUUUUCUUGUAAAAUCUUUUCAUCUUGAGAACCGCAAGUUGUUUUCCAUUGUUUUAAGCUUAUUUUUCCUUUGACCAUAAAAUAUUGUUUGUUGACCAAGCUUUCCUAGGUAGCCAAACAUGGAAAAAUGAGGAAAAUAUUUUAUGUGAAACAAACGGAGCCUAAAUUUAUAGCUUACAGUAUUUUGUACUUUAUUAAGUUCCUUCUACCUCUUAUAAACACAUGUGAACUGCAUAAGGUGGUUAUAUAUCUGCUUAUUUUCUCUUCAUCUUAUACCCUCAUGAUAUUUUUGGACCAUGGCAUAAGCCAUGAAAAGAAGUGAGGACAAUUUCUUGUGGCUUGUAGGUUGGCAGUCUUGCAUUGACCAUGACUUUCUUUUUGUGAAAGAAAUACUUGUCAUUAGCUUUAUUUGUGAGAUGGUUUGUUGGUUGUCUGGUGUCCCUCUUAGCAUGCAGCAUCUUUUUUCUCUGUCUAAAGUACUGUUCUGUUGUUUUGAGCUACCAUUCCUUGUAUUAAGAACUAGGUCAGAUACUGCCCUGAUUAUGUGAAAACUUGGAUGGAACCUUAUAUGAAUCUUCAAAUAUAUUUGCAGUUGUUAACUGUAGCCUUUUACAGCUGUGCUUUUGUAGUUGGAUUGCUGGUUUCUGUAUUAUGAAGAUUUCAUCUUUUCUUUUCUUCAUAUUUUUUCCCAUUUGAAAAGUCUCUUCAUAUAUUGAAACUCUUCAUGGCCUGCCUGUUUUAUUAUCUGUACUUUGACAUUAUGACGAUGCUGUGUGUUUGUAUAUACUAUUAAAGCCAUGGUAUUUUAGGUAGCAUUCAUCUGGUGGCUUUCUUCAGCUGCUCAACAUGACUGUUUAUCAG
RNAcentral lists this long non-coding RNA (2441 nucleotides) under Populus tremula. RNAcentral's name for it is "long non-coding RNA (PTRE_LNC003317)". The record is from RNAcentral. Lineage: Eukaryota; Viridiplantae; Streptophyta; Magnoliopsida; Malpighiales; Salicaceae.